RNAcentral lists this ribosomal RNA (274 nucleotides) under uncultured bacterium. RNAcentral describes it as "partial 16S ribosomal RNA". It matches the Rfam family "Bacterial small subunit ribosomal RNA", at positions 523 to 796 of the family's 1533-position model. The record is from RNAcentral.
AUACGGAGGGUGCAAGCGUUAUUCGGAAUCACUGGGCGUAAAGGACGCGUAGGCGGGUUGGCAAGUCAGAUGUGAAAUCCUACAGCUUAACUGUAGAACUGCAUUUGAAACUGCUAACCUAGAGUAUGGGAGGGGGAGAUGGAAUUAGUGGUGUAGGGGUAAAAUCCGUAGAUAUCACUAGGAAUACCGAAAGCGAAGGCGAUCUCCUGGAACAUAACUGACGCUAAGGCGUGAAAGCGUGGGAAGCAAACAGGAUUAGAAACCCUAGUAGUCC